CCCACACUGGUACUGAGACACGGACCAGACUCCUACGGGAGGCAGCAGUGAGGAAUAUUGGUCAAUGGCCGCAGGGCUGAACCAGCCAAGUCGCGUGAGGGAUGACGGUCCUAUGGAUUGUAAACCUCUUUUGUCAGGGAGCAAAGGGCGCCACGUGUGGCGCUUUGCGAGUACCUGAAGAAAAAGCAUCGGCUAACUCCGUGCCAGCAGCCGCGGUAAUACGGAGGAUGCGAGCGUUAUCCGGAUUUAUUGGGUUUAAAGGGUGCGCAGGCGGAAUGUCAAGUCAGCGGUAAAAUUUCGGGGCUCAACCCCGUCGUGCCGUUGAAACUGGCGUUCUUGAGUGAGCGAGAAGUAUGCGGAAUGCGUGGUGUAGCGGUGAAAUGCAUAGAUAUCACGCAGAACUCCGAUUGCGAAGGCAGCAUACCGGCGCUCAACUGACGCUCAUGCACGAAAGCGUGGGUAUCGAACAGGAUUAGAUACCCUGGUAGUCCACGCAGUAAACGAUGAAUAAUAACUGUCCGGGCAGAAUGAUGCCUGG
RNAcentral lists this ribosomal RNA (538 nucleotides) under uncultured bacterium. RNAcentral describes it as "bacterial SSU rRNA". It matches the Rfam family "Bacterial small subunit ribosomal RNA", at positions 307 to 842 of the family's 1533-position model. The record is from RNAcentral.